CCUACGGGAGGCAGCAGUGGGGAAUAUUGGUCAAUGGGCGCAAGCCUGACCCAGCAACGCCGCGUGAAGGAAGAAGGCUUUCGGGUUGUAAACUUCUUUUGUCAGGGAAGAGUAGAAGACGGUACCUGACGAAUAAGCCACGGCUAACUACGUGCCAGCAGCCGCGGCCAUACGAAGGUCGCAGGGGUUGUCCGGAUUUCCUGGGUGUAAAGGGCGUGUAGCCGGGGUGACAAGUCAGAUGUGAAAUCUUGCGGCUUAACCGCAGAACUGCAUUUGAAACUGGUGAUCUUGAGUACUGGAGAGGCAGACGGAAGUCGUAGUGUAGCGGUGAAAUGCGUAGAUAUUGGGAGGAACACCAGUGGCGAAGGCAGUCUGCUGGACAGCAACUGACGGUGAGGCGCGAAAGCGUGGGGAGCGAACAGGAUUAGAUACCCUGGUAGUC
This 442-nucleotide ribosomal RNA is filed under the name uncultured bacterium. Its description in RNAcentral is "partial 16S ribosomal RNA". It matches the Rfam family "Bacterial small subunit ribosomal RNA", at positions 338 to 795 of the family's 1533-position model. The record is from RNAcentral.